CUCUCGUUCUUAAAGAGAUAGGAAAGAACUGACCUACUUUCUAUGGAGAUUCUUGUAAUAGGUGGGCUCAUUACAUCUGCCUAACCCAGGCUUGGUUCGGUAAAGACACCAUUCCAAGGAGCUCAGCUCACCCCUCUGCCUUGAAUCAUUUUCCCCUAAUCCCAUUUAAAAUGUAAUCAUUCGUUCAUUCCUUCAUUCAGUAGACAUCUAUAGAGCUUGCCUCGUGCUGGGCUCUAGAACACUAUGAGCUCACAGUACGGUGGUGGAGACAAGCCACCACACACGCAGUUCCCACAAGGUGUCCCCAAGAACUUCGGAGCUCAGAACAGGUGAUACUCACUCCUCCUUUGGGGAGAGGCCGUGGGCAUGGCUUCACUUUUCAGCUGGAUUAUAAAGGAUGUGAAGUUAGCCUGACUGAGCAGAAGGGGAGGGAAGACAGCACUCCAGGAAAGUGGAACGAACAACAGAGUCCAAAGGGCCCUCCAGCCUACCCACUCCCAAGUACCUGGAAGAAGCUCUCCACGUGUUCCCUUGGGGCCUCCUCCCGGAGUGCAGGGUCAUACAGGUUGAAGGCCCAAUUAAGCCUGUCAUCUACAGUUCCCCGAAGAAUCACGGACAAACCAGCCACAAAGUCCUGGGAAGGAGGCAGGAGGGAGCUGUGUCCUCGGGUACUCUUCACCCAACUCCUUCUCUGGGUUUGGCCUGGAGAUCCUGGCCCUGAACUCCAGGAAACAGGCUUCCCUGGCCCACCUCGCCCAGCUCACCUCAAAACUGACCGAGCCAUCAUGGUUGGUGUCAAAGGCAUUGAAGAGAAAAGUGGCAUAGGUGCUGGAGUCUGCAGGGUGAGUGUGGAGAAGUUGGCUUCCACACAGGAGAGGACUUCCUCCCUCUAAGGAGCUCCCCAUACCCCCCAUCACCUUGGCAUUCCCAGCUCCUCCAGAAUCCCUCCCUCCCUCAGCCUAGAGAAGGACAACUGCUUCCCCUUGGGCCUUGUCCCCUCACCUCCUUGAGGAAAGAACUGGGAGUAAAUCUGCUUGAAGUUCUCCUCAUUGACAAUUCCGCUGGGACAUUCCUGGAAGGAGAGGGCACCAGGCUGAGGGCAGAGACAAAAUCCCCUUCCGUUCACCGCCCCCACCCUCCAUGGCCCAAGACUCCCAGGGAGGGGGAUAAUCUUCAAGCCUCCAGAGGACUCACCACGUGGCUCAUGUGAUGGGAGGGAAGACUUCUUUCCCAGUGCACAAAUAAAAAACAUGGAACGAAA
Homo sapiens (human) is the source of this 1261-nucleotide long non-coding RNA. Ensembl annotates it as KCNIP2 antisense RNA 1. Its record names the gene KCNIP2-AS1. NCBI's taxonomy places the organism in Eukaryota, Metazoa, Chordata, Mammalia, Primates, Hominidae. The record is from Ensembl.